CUCACUUUGACGGGGCAUAUUCUAAAGUUGGGACAAUACAGAGAAGAUUAGCAAUGGGCAAGGAUGAUAUGCAUAUUCGUGAAGUGUUCCAUGUUUUU
RNAcentral lists this small nuclear RNA (98 nucleotides) under Carlito syrichta (Philippine tarsier). The record is from RNAcentral. Lineage: Eukaryota; Metazoa; Chordata; Mammalia; Primates; Tarsiidae.